Small nuclear RNA from Suncus etruscus (white-toothed pygmy shrew), 104 nucleotides. The record is from RefSeq and is a predicted model, not a curated record. NCBI's taxonomy places the organism in Eukaryota, Metazoa, Chordata, Mammalia, Eulipotyphla, Soricidae.
AUGUUAUUAGCACAUAUUUCUGAAAUUUGGAACAAUAUAGAGAAAAUUAGCAUGGCCUCUGUGCAAGGAUGAUGAAUGUACUAAUCACCAUACAUUUUAUUUUU